Molecule: ribosomal RNA, 301 nt
Filed under: uncultured bacterium
Lineage: Bacteria
Description: partial 16S ribosomal RNA
Rfam family: Bacterial small subunit ribosomal RNA
Source: RNAcentral
CAGCCGCCACGGGAAUACGUAGGGUGCAAGCGUUAAUCGGAAUUACUGGGCGUAAAGCGUGCGCAGGCGGUUAUGCAAGACAGAUGUGAAAUCCCCGGGCUCAACCUGGGAACUGCAUUUGUGACUGCAUGACUAGAGUACGGCAGAGGGGGAUGGAAUUCCGCGUGUAGCAGUGAAAUGCGUAGAUAUGCGGAGGAACACCGAUGGCGAAGGCAAUCCCCUGGGCCUGUACUGACGCUCAUGCACGAAAGCGUGGGGAGCAAACAGGAUUAGAUACCCCGGUAGUCCCUGUCUCUUAUAC